GCCAGACUCCUACGGGAGGCAGCAGUGGGGGAUAUUGCACAAUGGGGGGAACCCUGAUGCAGCGACGCCGCGUGGGUGAAGGAGCGUUUCGGCGCGUAAAGCCCUAUCGGCAGGGAAGAAGGAGGACGGUACCUGACUAAGAAGCCCCGGCUAACUACGUGCCAGCAGCCGCGGUAAUACGUAUGGUGCAAGCGUUAUCCGGAUUUACUGGGUGUAAAGGGAGCGCAGGCGGCACGGCAAGCCUGAUGUGAAAGCCCGCGGCCCAACCGCGGGACUGCAUUGGGAACUACCGGGCUGGAGUGCCGGAGAGGUAGGCGGAAUUCCUAGUGUAGCGGUGAAAUGCGUAGAUAUUAGGAGGAACACCAGUGGCGAAGGCGGCUUACUGGACUGUAACUGACGUUGAGGCUCGAAAGCGUGGGGAGCAAACAGGAUUAGAUACCCGGGUAAA
RNAcentral lists this ribosomal RNA (448 nucleotides) under uncultured bacterium. Its description in RNAcentral is "bacterial SSU rRNA". It matches the Rfam family "Bacterial small subunit ribosomal RNA", at positions 330 to 794 of the family's 1533-position model. The record is from RNAcentral.